CAGACUAGGGUUGACGCAAUCUUAUAUAUAUUUCAUGAGUCUUUCUACCAAAUUAGGGUUGACCCAGCUUUGUUAGUAUCCCAUGGCAAGGUGCUAACACCCUUCCAACUGGGGUCACAGGUUGGACCCCAAAUCAAUCUACGUUGGGGUAUGUCGGUUAGAUGAACACUCCUACAGUUAUAGUUUUAGUCUCAACAUUCAGUAAAGAACUCAGACAGUUUUUCAAAACCAUGGAUAUCAGUUAUCAGUUACUUAGCCAUCAAAAUUUAGUAUUCAGUCUCAGUAUAAUCUCAGAUACAUAAUAUACAUAUAUAUAUAUAUAUAUAUAUAUGUAUACUUACAAGAACAAUAAUGCAUGCUCAUGUUUACUUUAGUUUCAGAUCUUCAUGUACUCUCAUUCAGUUACUUUAUAUCAUUCAGUCAGUUACUGUUCAUGCAUAUGAACCCAUGCAUAUUAGCCUUACUUCACUUAUCAUACCAAUACAUUCAACGUACUGAUCUCAUACUUAUUUUUUUGUGCUAUGAUGACUCGUAUCAUAGGUUCAGACGCACGGGUUCCUGAUCAUACUUAGCAGCUCAGGAUAUUAAUAGAAAAUUCAGUAGUGAGUCUUUAUCCAUCAAGGAUAUUAUUUUAUUUUAGCAUCUUAGAAGAUUUAGUAUAUUCAGUAAUCAGAUUUAUUUGGGGACUUGUCUAAUCAACUCUACAUUCAGACAGUUAGAGGUUUUCAGACUAGCAUAGUCAGUUAUUCAAUUUUCAGAUGUUAUUGUCAGUUAUACUCUCUUAUUAUUUUAGUAUUUUGAGAACCUUAUGGAAUUUUUAGUUACUUCCAUAUAUAUAUAUAUUUCAGUAUUAUAUUCAGUGCUCAAGCAGGUACCAGUCAUUGGCCAGAUUGUGGUCCUUCGAGAUUGUAAGCAAUGUGUGAGGCUCAAGGUGUAGUCUCGGGGUUUUACAGUUUUUUUCUUAGAGCUCUCCAUAGAAAAAAGGAACAUUUGAAUUGAAUCAUCCUAUGCCAGGUGUAAUUAUUCAUCAUUGUUAUUUCUUUGUGUUCUCUUUUCAACCCUCGGCAGAGGAGCAGCUGAAAUCACCACUUGCAUUUAGUGUCCAAAUUAGGGAGUCAGGAACCCUUCUUGGAAGUAGAAUAAAACUCUGGGGAUAGUUUGUAGAAGAUGAGGGGGAAGUAUUGUUAUUUUUUUUAUAUUCCACUCACCCUCAAUUAGGAAUGCUUCUACCUUGACAUUAUUUGACCUUACUCCAUCAAUUCUGUAGUUGUGUAGGGACCCCUGACCAAACCAGCUAUACCACUAAAAAUAGCAUGCACCUGAUUUGAUUCUCCAUAGUAUAUGUUUUUCAGCUUCCUUCUUGUUCUUCGUCAUGUUUUUCCAUAUCAGAGACUGACCAAUAGACCCUUUCCUGGUUAUAACAUUAACUCUCUGGCAGUAUUUGGCUGGUAAAAAGUUGCCCCCACAGAGUGUUUCUGCUUCUAAAUAUCCACUAUUUUUUCAACUGUAUAGCUUUACAUAUUUCAGAAAUAUGCCUUAUACCAAUUCCUCAUUCAGUUGCUGGGAAGCAAAGGUUCCUCCAAGAUGCCCAGUGAUAUUUAUUCUUGUUGUCUUUCCAUCCACAAAAAAAGUCAGCAAACAUAUAUAAGAGCUAUUUUAGAAUAGUCUUGGGAGACAUGCAGAGAGAAUGUGAAUAGGGAUUGAUUGGAAAACAUACUUUACCAACACAACUCUACCACCAUAACUAAGCAUUCUGGAGUGCCAACCUAUUAUUCUGGAAGCUACAUUGCCGACCAACCCAGCAUAAUGACUAAUUCUUUGCCUUAUAAUAUAAAUUGAACUAACAAGGUAUGUAAUAGGGCUUUGCUUCUGUUGAAAUUCAGUUUUAUCUCAAAUCCUUGAUACUGUGGAGGGAAAAGAUUGGUUUGGUAGCAGGAAAUAACUCUUUUCCUUGUUGAUCGGAUGGAUAGAAACCUCUUCAUAAGAUGUCAAUGUCUUUAUAAUGAGUCUUAGAGUGUGUCUCCUUCCAGUAGUAAAUAUGAUGAUAUCAUCAAUAAAGCUGAGAUAGCUUACUUGACGCCCUUUCCAGUUCAUGUGAAAGCCAUAAUAUUGAGGGUUGUGAUGUAAUUUGUUUAAUGCUCUUGAUAAAACUUUAUCCCCAAGGAUAAAAAGAGCAGGGGAGAUAGGGUCACCUUGUUUCAAUCCCUUUGUGGAGUAAAAAAAAAGCCAUGUUUGGUACCAUUCACAAGUACUGAGUACCAGUUGUUUGACAGAGUCCUCCAGAUCAUGUCAAUAAUAGUUUUACCAAAUCUAAAUCUUCUCAAAACAAGGAAAGUAUAUGACCAGGACACCCUGUCAUAGGCCUUGGCCAUGUCAAGUCUUAUAGCCACAUUUCCACCCACAACUGGUUUCUUAAUGCCACUAAUGAUCUCCUGGGUAAGCAUGAUAUUUUUUGCAAUAUUCCUACCUCUCACAAAGACUGAUUGGUUGCAAGAAAUAAGAGUGGGAAGGCUGAUGAGUUUAGAAAUAACUUUAUUGGUGAAGUUGCUCAAGCUGGUACGUCUAGAUUCAGAGAGUUUGUUGGGGUGAGUUACUUUAGGAAGGAGAACCAAACAGGUAUGAGAGAAGUAUUUAGGCAUAAUAUGUCCACAGAAAAAAACAAUCACCAAUUAAAGAAGAUCAUUACCAAUGAUAUGCCAGCAGGACUGAAAGAAAUUCACAUUCAUGCUAUCAGGACCAAAUGCUGAAUGAGCAUUCAUUGAAAAAAAUACAGCAUUUAAUUCAUCCAGAGUAGGAAUUGCCUGGAGGGUCUCAUUUUGAUCAUUUGGGAGCACUUUAGGAAUAUUAGCUAACAUUUCUUAUAGUACAUGUUCUAUUUAUCAAGUAAAUUUAUCCUGGAAAUGUUUACAUCCAGCUGCAAUAACUUCAGCAUCCCCUUGAAUCCAAUCCCCUUCCUCAUUUUUUAUUUAGUGAAUGAACAUUCUUUUUUUUUCAUCUGAUAAAGGCAUGAAAAUAACUGGAAUUUGCAUCUCCAUAUUUAAACCAGUACAGUUGAGACUUCUGUCUUAAGAUAGCAUCUUUCACCUUGAGAUGUUUAAUAUAUUCAACUUGUAGUCUAUGGAAUUCCUAUUUGUUCACAUCUGUGCCAUUUAAGAUCAAAUUUUCCACAACUUCCUUGACCUUCUCUUCAUAAGCUUUCACAUUAGCAUAAAUGUCUCCAAAAUUCUUCUUUAGACCAGUGGCUUAGGGUAGAAGUUAGUCUUUUCAUCUUUUGUUGAAAUCUCCACAUGGGGGCUUCUGCACAAGGCUUCUUCCAGCAUGUCUCCACAGUGUUAAAUAAUAUGGGAUUCUCCACCCAACAAUUCAGGAAUUUGAAAUACUUAAUGUAUGAGUCCACACUUUCCUGCAUCUCCAAAAGUAAUGGAUAAUAAUCUGAGCCUACAGAAGACAAAUGAGUAAUGUUGGACAUUGGCAUUUUUUCCAACCAUGCAUCUGACACCAUUGCUCUAUCCAAUCUUUUCUAUAUUCUGAAGUGAAUGACUCUUAGAUUAGACCAAGUGAAUUUGGGACAAUGGAAACCCAGGUUAGUUAAUCCACAAGCUUCAAUGACCCCCAAGAAUUCAAAACUCUUCCUUAUAAGGGAUACCUCCCUAUUUUUCAUCUACUUCAGUAAUCAUAUUAAAGUUACCAAUUGUGCACCAAGGUAAAAUAGUUGCAGACAGUUGCACCAGUUUAUUCCACAAGGGUCUUCUAAUAGUAUCUCUGUACUUGGCAUAAACAAAAGUAAUAAGAUAUUAUUGAACAAGAGCACUAUAAGUAAUUAAGCAGGUAAUCUAUUGAACAUCAUUAGCAAUAGUGCCACAUGAGAUAUCUAGGGACCAGAAGAUCCAGAUUUUGCCAGUAGGAUUGCAGAUAGCAUGCUCUAUCUUGAGUUUUCUUUUAGUUUCUUCUAGAUGAGUAUUAUUGUAGAAGGUUCCAGAAUUACAACCAAAGAGAUUUAAUGAAUGGUUAUUAGUUGUUGAAGUCUUUCCAGUACACCAUGGGUAAAUAGACCCCCUGCAUUCCAAGUAAGAUAUCUAAUUAUUUAGUUGUUUUGUGAGAAUAAGACCUGGUAAAAGGUCUGGCUGUGUGAUCAGUCCUGCUGGUUAAAUUUUGUUUGGUCCCCUUCAUGGACUUAAGUAAAGACCCCUUGGGAGAAAGCCCUUGCUGGCUAAAAAUUUGGUUUACUUCCAUUGCAAAUUCCUCUGGAUCUCCUAGAUCAAAAACAUCAGUCAAAUUUUCAUCAAUAGUCCCCAUGUGUUCCAAUUUACUGUCAUAUAUAUCAUCCUUAGAGUGUAUCACCCUGUAUUCAUCUUCUAUCUCCUGAGAAGGGUCCUAAGAAUAAUACUUAGUGACAAUAGGUUAAUCCUUAUUUUCAAUGACUUGCAACUAUUCAAGAGCCACUUUCAUUUGAGAACAAGACUCAAAGUUAGAGAAAACACCUUGUACCAUUUCAAGGGCCAUCACACCAUUCUUCACCUCCUUAUUUUCAAUAACCUGCAACUGUUUAAGAACCACGUCCACUUGAGAACAAGACUCAAAGUUAGAGAAAACACCUUAUACCAUUUCAGGGUACAUCACACCAUUCUGCACCUCCUCUUAAGGAUUCUUAAUAUCUUCUGAUUUGCUCAGCUGGUUCUCCUUAGCAGGAGUACUUAACAAGGUUUUGUUACUUCCUUCAAGUACCUAUAGAUUAUCUAGUUUGGCACUGUUAGACUCAUCUUUUUGUUGUGAAAUUAUCUUAAUAACAUCAUCAAUAUUGACUGGACAAGCAUAAUCAAUCCCAACAUAGUCUUGUUAAAGAGCUGUAAAUGCAUUAGAUAUAGUUGGAGCAGCAGUAUACCGUUGACCCUCUGUAUGCUUAUUUGGAGACAGUGGCUUGAAUAUCAUCUUUUGGUUGUCCCUUCUACCUUUCCUUUUUUAUUCUGUCACUCAUUAAUGAGGGUCUUACCUCUAUCUGCACUAUGUUGCUGCAGUGUAUCAAGUGUGGUCAACAUCCCUUGAUUCAUCUAAGGGUAACCUUUCUGUCUACACUCCUCCUAAGAGCUCUCAUUUAAAUCCAUCUUUUUCUUAGCAGCCUUAUCUUUUCUUUAACAACAUAUGAUCUUGCAGCAUGUCCUUGGUGUUUACAAUAAGAGCAGUACUCUAGAACAUCUUCAUACAGAAUGGUUUGCCAUCUACCUUCACUAUGUUCAUCAUCAUCCUCAUCAUCUCCCAUCCAAAUAUGUUGGCGUCUCGGCUUAGUUAGGUCAAUUUGCAUCUUGAACUUAGCUAUACUUCCCCUAGUUUUUUUAUAAUUUACCAAGUCUAGAAAUAAUACCUUUCCUAUAGGAGAUAAUAGAGAUGUCACCACCUCUAAGUAAUAACAGUGCCAAGAGAGUUCAGGUAAGCUAACCCAUACAGGAACCAAUGGAGUCUCCUCUUCGGGGUUAAAAGUGGGGGUCCACAAUUGAAAUCUCAUCAUCUUCCAUUGGAUAUACAUUUUCCCUUUUGACCAAAUGGUUGAAUGAUCGUAUUCAUUAUCUAUAUCAAUGUAUAGAUGUCUAGAAUUAAAAUGAGUAAUUUUGACCUGACCCUUUAGCUUAGUUUGUAGAAUGAAUUGUCGCCUAAUCACCUCCAUCUUAGGCAUACUAUUUUCAAACUUCCCAAUCAGGGUAUACUAAAUCUCUGUGCUAAUUUGACUUUAUAAUCUUCGGGCCUAAACACAACCACUGGGAGGACUUGUUUGGUUGUUAUUUUGAGGGGUCCAAUGUGAAUAAUUUCUGCCUUCAUAGCCUCUUAGGCUCUCAAUUUCGUAUCCAAAGAGUGUGUAACCCAAGGGAUAGGGGUUUCAGUACCUUGACCUGGUUUGGGCCAUACAACAGUAGAACCUAGAACCCCUACAUUCAUUGGAAGUUGGGGCAUUAACCCCGGCAUGAACUUCAAAACAUCAGCAUUGGGGCUAUUAUUGAGUGUUACUAGAGGAUCAACUAUGUUAGGUUUCGUAUUAGACAAGUUAGUAGAUUGGAUAGAAAUCUUACUUCCAUUAGUGGUUGAUGUUAUUUUAUCCAUUUUCACCAUCAUUAAGCUACUCGGAAUGGAUUGUGGUUGAAUUGCAGCCAUUUUCAACUUCUCUGUUGGUAAUAAAUUCAUCUUAGGUUGUUCUAAAUUUGGUGUUGAUGAGUAUUGGAUUGAGCUCUACUUUACCUCCCCUAGCUUGCAUUGCACUUCUGAUUGAGCUUGGUUGAUAAUCGUUUGCACCCAACGUAAUUGGUCUUCAGAAAUUUAAGCUGGGUAUCCGUCAGAUUGGUGCAAUUGCUGAGAGAUGUGUGGCAUAUGUAUGGGUGGAUUUUUCUGUAGGGAUCGAAUGAAUGCAUGCCUCCCCUAAGGAGAGAUGUUUGAUGGUCGGAGAAGCUACGCCGGCAGCUGCGAAGCCAUUGUAGUCACCAGUUGUAAUUGGCGAGAAAUGACAGAAUUAUAACUACCUAGAGAGAGAAUUUUUUAGAGAGAUAAAAUUAAUUUAAUUAAUUAAUUUAAAUUUUAGGAUGUGUAAAAGAUGAAUUGGGGAUUUUUGAUUGAGUCAAAUGUGGUUAAAAUUGACAUCAAAAGUGGCUAAAAAUUCAAAUAUGUAGGAAAAUUAGAUGAAAUUAGUUAUCAUUUUAACAACAACAAUAAUAAUAGUAAUAAUAAUAAUUAUUAUUAUUAUUAUUAUUAAAAUAAUAAUAAAUAAAAAUUAUUAAUGUAAAUAAAUCGUGUAAAAAAGAUUAAUGACACCUAAAAUAUUAUUUUAAUAUUAAUGGAAAUAAUAAACUAUACACCUAUAAAUUGCAAAAUAUCAUCUUUAAUAUAACAACUAAGUGUUUGUAAAUUAUAGUUGUGAACAAAAGAUUAUGUCUAAAUAUUAUGUUUAAACUAAUAAAUUAUAAAAAGUGAUAAUUAAAUAGUAAUAAAAUAGUUUUUACAUUUUUAAAAUAUGGAUAUAACAUGAUAAAAUUUUAUUCGAUACUAAAAUAUUAAUAUUUAAAAUUAAUAAUUUGGAUAAAAUAACAGUCUAAAAGCAGCAUCGGGAGGUCAAAAUUGGAUGUCAAUAGCACUUUUAUCUAAAUAUGAUGUGUUUGUCGAGUAUUGCAGGAAAAUAGGGUCAGAAGUGAGUGGAAUGGAAUAAGAAAGAAAAAUGCACCAAAUAGCAGAAAACUUUCUGGGAAACAAGUUGCUGGGUCAUGCUACGACUCAUCGUUCAGGUCGUAGCCAUCCUAGUCCACAAAAAGACAAAGGAUAGAAGGGAAAAGUGACAACUCGUAGAGCCAGACUGCGAGUCAUAGGCUGAGGUGUUCUGAGCAAAAUGAGCAAAGUCCUGAAAGGUAUAUUUUGAUAGCAGUGGAGACGAAAGCUGACAAUGAGUCGUAGGGUCAGACUAUGACUCAUCUUAAUACUCAUUCUGAGUGUGUGGAGAAAAGUUCUAAAAAUUAGAAGAUGUAGCAUUGGACCUAACGAGUCGGGAGACGGCUUGCAUAGUUCCAUAACAAGUCAUCACUAGCCAUAGGAAAUCUAGAUGAUAACUGCAAUAGAAGGUGGAUAAUGAGUCAUCGUUAGUCUAGAUGACUCGUCGCCUAAGGUGUCAUCCUUACCAACUUAAGUAGUCCUGUUUUGUUUAGGAAAAAAUUAAUGUAACUAUAAAUAUUCCUUUGAAGUUUUAUUGUUAGUUUACACUCCACAUAUUUUUACACAUUUUUUGAGUUCUGAGAUAAAUUAUUAAUCUUGAAAUUAUUGUUAUUCAUUUUUAGGGUUUAUAAUUGAAUUAAUAUUUUGGGUUUUUUAUCUUCCUCUUUAAAAAUUAUUAAUGUAAAUAAAUCGUGUAAAAAAGAUUAAUGACACCUAAAAUAUUAUUUUAAUAUUAAUGGAAAUAAUAAACUAUACACCUAUAAAUUGCAAAAUAUCAUCUUUAAUAUAACAACUAAGUGUUUGUAAAUUAUAGUUGUGAACAAAAGAUUAUGUCUAAAUAUUAUGUUUAAACUAAUAAAUUAUAAAAAGUGAUAAUUAAAUAGUAAUAAAAUAGUUUUUACAUUUUUAAAAUAUGGAUAUAACAUGAUAAAAUUUUAUUCGAUACUAAAAUAUUAAUAUUUAAAAUUAAUAAUUUGGAUAAAAUAACAGUCUAAAAGCAGCAUCGGGAGGUCAAAAUUGGAUGUCAAUAGCACUUUUAUCUAAAUAUGAUGUGUUUGUCGAGUAUUGCAGGAAAAUAGGGUCAGAAGUGAGUGGAAUGGAAUAAGAAAGAAAAAUGCACCAAAUAGCAGAAAACUUUCUGGGAAACAAGUUGCUGGGUCAUGCUACGACUCAUCGUUCAGGUCGUAGCCAUCCUAGUCCACAAAAAGACAAAGGAUAGAAGGGAAAAGUGACAACUCGUAGAGCCAGACUGCGAGUCAUAGGCUGAGGUGUUCUGAGCAAAAUGAGCAAAGUCCUGAAAGGUAUAUUUUGAUAGCAGUGGAGACGAAAGCUGACAAUGAGUCGUAGGGUCAGACUAUGACUCAUCUUAAUACUCAUUCUGAGUGUGUGGAGAAAAGUUCUAAAAAUUAGAAGAUGUAGCAUUGGACCUAACGAGUCGGGAGACGGCUUGCAUAGUUCCAUAACAAGUCAUCACUAGCCAUAGGAAAUCUAGAUGAUAACUGCAAUAGAAGGUGGAUAAUGAGUCAUCGUUAGUCUAGAUGACUCGUCGCCUAAGGUGUCAUCCUUACCAACUUAAGUAGUCCUGUUUUGUUUAGGAAAAAAUUAAUGUAACUAUAAAUAUUCCUUUGAAGUUUUAUUGUUAGUUUACACUCCACAUAUUUUUACACAUUUUUUGAGUUCUGAGAUAAAUUAUUAAUCUUGAAAUUAUUGUUAUUCAUUUUUAGGGUUUAUAAUUGAAUUAAUAUUUUGGGUUUUUUAUCUUCCUCUUUAUAAGUUCAGUAUUAUGUUUCAUCUAUGAAAAUUUUUUUUGAUCUUACAACCAUGAGCAGCUAAACCCUAUAACUAGAAUUGUGGGAUCCCAGAUGAAUUAAUGAAGAAGAUUAAGUGCGAAAUUAUUUUAGAUUGAUGUUUUUGCAUGUAUUAGGAUUUCCUUUGCUUUGAUUGCUUUCGUAAUGGCUGCAAACUUUCGAAACUCGCCAGUAUUUGAUACUUUCUCGAGAGAGAGGUAGAGAUUAGGAAAAGGAGAUUACAACAGUAAUCUAAAGAGAUCAACCUUCAUCUAAUUAACUUGAGACCAAGUGGAGAUAGUUAAUUGGAGGUCAUAAAACAAGGGUUAGUAAUGUGACACUCUAAGAUCGAAAAGAGAUGAGUGAAAUUCAGCCAAACCAAGAUCGAGAGACGGUUAUGUGAUACAUAACUUGUUAGAUUUUGCAUGCAAGGCAUAGAGAUUGUUUGACAAGCACAAACAUUCUGUGGAGUGAUAAAGUUAGAGGGAACACAAUCCUAGUGCUCGUCACACAUUGGUCACAACCCUAAUUGCCCAACAACUAUUACUAUUACUCUCAUGAAUAAAAAACCCCCUUUUCAUUUACGUAAUUUUCAAUUACAUCAGCAAGCUCUUGAUAGAUUUUUUCCCUAUUCCUUAUGGAAUCGACCCCAACCUAGUUGGAUUCUAUAUUUGACAAACGACCGCCUUAUACUUUAUUAGAAGUGUAAUUUGGGCAACAUUAAUAGUCAUCUAAUAGGAAAAUAAAUUCAUUUAGAUGAACAUAACCUAUUGAUUUUACCUGCCACGAACUGAGAGAGAUCACUGCUACAAAACCUACAAAGUUAAGAAGUUAUAGGAAAUACAAUUCCAUUGCCUUUAUUAUAUUAAUUACAAAUAACUAAAAUCAUCAAUUAUUAGUACUAAAAGUCUGAAUUAUAACCACCACCACUCCUUAGAAGAAAUUAUUUAUUGGUUGUUUUGAUAAACAUAUCGAUAGGGAUUUUGGCUAAUUCCUCAUGAAAUUGACCCCAACCUAGUUAGAUUCUAUAUUUUCAAUGGCUGCUUUGAAAUUUUACCGAAGGUGUAAUUUAUGUGACAUCAAAUUUUGGUUUUGUUGCCAGGGAAACCAACCGCAUUUACCUUUUCUGCCCCCACUAUUGAAAACUGCUUUAUGAACAAACUAAAUCUGAUUCUUAGUUGUGCUAACUCCUGCGAGCAAUAGAAUCAUCAACUAUUAUCUGUUCUGUGGAUAAUCCUAUCAUAUAAGUUCAUGCAGGCAUGUCUGUCUCUCAAAUGUGCUAACCCCUCUUGGUUUUAGUAAUCCUAUCUAGAAUCUCAGAAGCCUGCUCCUAAGUAAAACUCACAAUGCUCUAUCGAUGAUAAUGUCCACCAUAACCUUAUUGUUCGCAAUCAGAACCCUCUGUAGAGGAUUUCAAGUAAAGUUUGGCUCGGUAUUCUAUGGUUUAGGACAUACUGCAACUUUUUCUUAAAUUUUAAGCAAGUUUUGUGCAAUGCUUCUAACUGUAUCUGCCUAAAGUUAUAAAUCUUAUAUUUCAAUUAUAAUAUUAUAGAAGUGGGACAAAAUUGCUCCAAAAAUUAUGUCUUUUUCUCUUGCCAAUUUGUGAUUGGCCCUUAUGGCAGCUCGAUCAACCAUAAAGUUGUUUUCCAGUUAAAGAGAAGGGAAACAACCGCAAUCUAAUAGCAUCCUGACUCACACUCGAUAGGUUGUAGAAAGUGCAAAUCCCUACAAAGUUCAUCAAAUUAAGGUUUGCAUCAGUAGUAUGAAGGCCCGUGAAUACUCCUUUUACGUUCAGUAACUAUAUCAUAGCACUAAUAAUGUCAAACUUGUUUUUUAAUGGCAAUUGUAGUGGAAUAAUGGCACCUAUAUCAGUCACCUCAAGCAAGUUUAGAUCAUCCUCUACAUCAUUAAAUGGAGUAACAUAAUGUUGGGUGUUGUUACCCCUUAUUCCUUUUCUACCUAUUUUGUUCCUCGAGUGCGACUAGAUGUGUUGUUUCUACUUAUCUUACUCAUUCUUAUCUUUUUGCCUUCGUAGCAACUUCUUACCUUUCCUAAUCUUCAACAACUAGUCAAGCAAUGAUUUGCUCAGUUGUCUCCUGAAGUCCUAGGUUUUGUACCCCUUGGUUCAGAACUUCCCGUCAUGAACUCUUUCGUUAAUCAUUCUUCUUCUAGUUCUCAGAGUCCUUUCAUUCUCAGGAUUAAGAAGAAUUAGGGUAUCACCUUGACUCCAAGUGUUGGGCAUGCACAGAUGUGCGUCCUAGAAACAACAUAAAUAAGUAAGAUCAUAGAACAGAAACCAAUAACUAAACAAACAUAAUCUAUCAACUUCGCAAUCGUAUUCCCUAAAAACAGUGCCAAAAUUUGAUGUCGCCCAAAUAUACCUACAAUAUAAGUAUAAAGUGGUUAUUUAUCAAACAUAGAAUCCAACUAGGUUUGGGUCGAUCCCACGAGGAACAAGCUAAAAUCUCUAUCAAUGUAUUUAUCUAAGUGAUCAAUAAAUAAUUUCCUGUAAAGGGGGAGGUUGUAAUUCCGACUUCCAAUAGUAAUAAUUGGCGAUUUUAGUUGUUUGAAAUCAAUAUGAUAAAAGCACUAGGAUUUUGUUACCUAUAACUUCUUAACUCUAUAGAUCUCGGCGUUUAACAUGCAGAAUCGAUAGGUUAUGUUCAUCUAAACGAAUUUAAACCUCUAUUAGAUGUCUAUCCUCAAUUAUGUAUUAUCUUCUCAUGAAUUUUGCACUACUAGCCCCUAUCAUGGAUCCUAGAUUAAUUAUCGUAUUUAUCAGCUUAAGCUAUUAAAUGAAUGUUGAUAGCUUCAUGCCUCAUUUUUAAUUCUCUUUUUCCAUCUGUUACACCUUCUUUAGUUGCGAGUAAGGAUAACUUGAGUUUUAAUGUUGGUUACCGUUAAAAAGCAAUCAAACCAAAGAGAAUAACAAUACAUGCACAAACACCAUUUGAGAAUAACAUAGUAUUUUAAACGCAACUUUGUUCAUCCGUUAUGGUUCCAAUAAUUCUAGUUAUAGUGUUUAGCUAUUCAUAAUUGUAAGCACACAAGAAUAAUUCUGAUAAGAAAUCAUAAUUAUGAAAUUACGAAGAAGAUGAAAGCCACAUAGCUCACUUUGAAUAAAAAUCCUAAAAACCGAUGUUAUACUUCAAACAAAAAUAUGCCUCAAAAGUAUCAAGAGAAUGUAAAUUAAUACAAUAAACCUAAUAAGAGUAUUUAUAGAUAAAAACAAAACCUAUCCUAAAUGUACUAAGACUUGCAGAGUUGACGCCUCAGAUGAAGGAUAGAACGAUUGUUGGUAGAUAACACGAUCAUGUCUACUGUUUGUUUCUGGAAGGCUAACUUUACCCUUGUAGAUGUUGCUGGAAUAAUCUUCAGGAUGAGCUCGUUAAAUCAAGGGAUGAUCAUUACUUCCUACCGCUGCAUCCAUUUUUAAUUUUUUACUUUGCAAUCCUCCCACGAUCUUCGGGACGAAUCUAUUGUACCUUCUAAUGAUCGUGGGAUCCUCUCAUCUGUUCUUCUUCAUGUUUUAUUCUCUGAUUCAUCAUAGGGUCUUAUAGAAGACCGUUAUUAGAUCCAACGAUCGUUCCUAGGCUCGUUUGAUGUCUUUAAGUUCAAAUUACGUACUGCACUUUACUUCUCCGGGCCUGUUUAACCUCCAAAUGCAAUAAAAGUACAUCAUACCCAUAAAAACAUGUCUUUAAAGUAGCAAUUUAUUUUUAAGUGUCAUAAGUCUAUGACAUAUAUUUUGCUGCAGAAAGCUGAGCUUUGUAUUCAAUUCGUCGACAAUAUAAGAAACUUUCAAGUAAAUAAUUUUUUGUUGAUUGAUUUUUUGGCGGGUAUUGAAGAAUGGAUGUUGAAGAAGGCAAAAGCAAUGAUUUUUAUGCAGUUUUGUGUAGGUGGAGGAGCCAAUAGUGAAGUUGAUGGUGGUGAUUACUUGGCAAUGGUGGUUGUGGUGGUGAUUACUUACACAGUAGAGGUGGAGGAGAGGAUGAAGGCAGCGAUGAAUUCACAUUUUUUUAUGAUUGCACAGGGCAAUGAAAAUUCAAUACUUCAUGCCUCCUAUCAUUUGUGUUGAACUCAAAUCCGUCACAAUUAAGGGGUUGGACUGGUUAUGACAUUUAAAAGGGUUAUUUAUUUUAUUUUAAAGCAGUUUAAGGGGUAAUACAAUUCCUAUGAAAUAUAAGUGGGUAGUUGAUAAUUGACUAAUAGAUUUGGAGGCAUUUGACUAUUUUCUCUAAUUACUUCUAUUGAAAGUAGUACAAAUUAAUUAUAACAUGUACACAUACCUGCUUGGCUGUAAUUUUCUCUCCUUUAAUGGUUAUAAUUAUCUCAACAAAAUUGAUGAAGAUAAUUGACCAACUACCUCUUUACGUGAGCAACAACAAAUUAGCUGUCCCGAAAUUCAUAAACUUCUCACGCUAGAGAAUCUCAACACAUGCUUGAAUUUGCCUUUGCUUUUUCACUUUGUCAACAAUCUCUUCCUUGCUAAACAUACCAUCAUUAUUUCUUGUUUUAUUUAGAAAAAUCUAUUUUUCUCUCAAUAUAUGGUGUCCUACGUACUCUCUUAUUUAGCUCUCUCUUUGAAUUUUUCGUAAGAUAGAGUAUAGAAAUAUCCGUAAGAUUGUUGGAAAUUUUAUGGAAAAUGUUUUUUCUUGAAUACUUCUAUGAAAUUCACAUAACUUGAGGCGUGUCAGACAUUGUCCUUAAGGAUAUUUUACCCGGUAUAAAUGAUCCUUCAGGAUUAAUAAACUCUUCUAAUAUUAAAUUUAGAGCCAGAAACUAAAAAAUAAAAUUAACAAAAAAAAUCCAGUAUAAGAGAAGAGAACCAAAAGAAUGCAUCUUAAUAUAUUAUUCUCAACAAUGAGAAAUAGAAGAAUAUAUUGGCAGAGAAUAGUUUGAUUUGACCUUCUAAUUGCAACGUCUCUUGUGAAGAUGAUAAAGGCCUUAGAGAUCAUAAAGGUCAUAAAGGUUAAAAGAUGUUAUUUGUUGUGUUAAUUAACGAAAAUUAAUAGGAUGGUAAUUGAAAUAAAGAAUCAGCUUUAGUUCCAACAUUAUUAGCCAUUAAAGUUAUUCAAAUGUGAAAUAUUUGUGUCAAAGAUGUUAUACAGAUUAUGAAAAUACUCCCUCCGUUUCGUAUUAGUAGAACUUUUUUCUAAAAAUAUUUGUUUCAAUUUAGCUCUCCGUUUCGUAUUAGUAGAACUUUUUUCUAAAAAUAUUUGUUUCAAUUUAGCUCUCUUUUAUAAAAUCAAAAGAAUAUUAUUAUGUUCUUCCGAUAUUAUCCCUUUCAUUAAUGACUAAAUAAAGUGUAUAAACUUAAAUUUAUAUUUUCAAAGUAUAAUUAAUGAAGUUAAUUUGGUAAAUUAAAUUCCUAAUAUAUUUUUUCUUAAUGAGUUUGUCAAGUCCAUAGGGACCAACUAAUAUGAAACAGAGGGAGUACUCAAAAAAGCUUAUUUACUUUUUGAAAUAUCCAACAACUCGCUCUUGUCUCACUUUUAUUUUUCGACUAUUUCAAAAAAAAAAAUCACUUUUAUUUUUCAGUUUUAACAUAUCAAGAAAAGAUAAUUAUUUUAUCCAUAUUUUAAGAAGAAUAUAUUGGCAGAGAAUAGUUUGAUUUGACCUUCUAAUUGCAACGUCUCUUGUGAAGAUGAUAAAGGCCUUAGAGAUCAUAAAGGUCAUAAAGGUUAAAAGAUGUUAUUUGUUGUGUUAAUUAACGAAAAUUAAUAGGAUGGUAAUUGAAAUAAAGAAUCAGCUUUAGUUCCAACAUUAUUAGCCAUUAAAGUUAUUCAAAUGUGAAAUAUUUGUGUCAAAGAUGUUAUACAGAUUAUGAAAAUACUCCCUCCGUUUCGUAUUAGUAGAACUUUUUUCUAAAAAUAUUUGUUUCAAUUUAGCUCUCCGUUUCGUAUUAGUAGAACUUUUUUCUAAAAAUAUUUGUUUCAAUUUAGCUCUCUUUUAUAAAAUCAAAAGAAUAUUAUUAUGUUCUUCCGAUAUUAUCCCUUUCAUUAAUGACUAAAUAAAGUGUAUAAACUUAAAUUUAUAUUUUCAAAGUAUAAUUAAUGAAGUUAAUUUGGUAAAUUAAAUUCCUAAUAUAUUUUUUCUUAAUGAGUUUGUCAAGUCCAUAGGGACCAACUAAUAUGAAACAGAGGGAGUACUCAAAAAAGCUUAUUUACUUUUUGAAAUAUCCAACAACUCGCUCUUGUCUCACUUUUAUUUUUCGACUAUUUCAAAAAAAAAAAUCACUUUUAUUUUUCAGUUUUAACAUAUCAAGAAAAGAUAAUUAUUUUAUCCAUAUUUUACUCUUAACAUUAAUUAGUUACUCUCAAAAUUAUUUUCAAGACCUAAUACAUGUGCCAAGUUCAAAUACAACGUAACAAAUAAAAAUUAACGAAAGAAGUAUAUAAAUUUAUCUGAUUAGGUAAUUGACCCAACUUAGAUUUUUGUUCAAAACUUAAAAAUUUUCCUCCAAUGCUUCCUUUCAACUCCCACCCCACCUAGCAACCAAAAACCAUCAAUAGUUAGACGUAUUUCUUGGUGAAUUCAACUAUAAAUUACUCAAGAAUCAAUCUAUGUAUAAUAUAAAGGAAGGUCAUAGAGCAGGUGAUGUGGUAGCUCUAUAUGGUCUCCGUUCUUAUUUAUCUUUUUUCUUCUUUUUGACUUUUUUUCAUCUUUUUUUUUAAUUAUUUAAUUUUAUAAAAUCAUCUUCUUAAUUGACGUUGAUAAUAUUCAUAACUCUCAAUCCUUUUAUAUUCAUAACCCUCAAUUAUUUAUUAUACAAGUUUAUGACACAUUAAAAUCAUAUUAAUAAAUUUUGUUUUUUGAUAAUAAUAAAAAAUUAUUUUGAGCUAUAUAUAAUGGUUACUCUAUUUUCAUUUCUUCAUGUUCUUCAUCGUUUGUCUCUUUGGUUAAUUAAUUUUUUUAUUUGAUUUUACAGAUUACAAGAAGAUAUUACAAUAAAAAUGGAUAGAUAUUUCUGCAUGGUUCAAUUUUAAGAAGUUAAAUGAAUUGAUAUGCCUAAUAUAGUUACAACUCUUACUUUGUUGUAUUAUACAUUUAAUAUUAUUUAUUUGAAUUUUUGAUGAUAUGAUUUCUUAAAAAUUAAAUUGAUUUUUCUCUUUGCUUCUCUUUAUAGUUUUUAGAAACUUUGAUUAAUAUGUGUUAUUAGCUUUGUAUUUUUGAAAGAAUUUGAUUAUGUUAUGUUGACAAUAAAUGUUCUUCUUUCCUCUUUAACUCAUUUUUUUGAUGAUAUAAUUUCUUAAAAAAUGAUUUAAUUUUUUCUCUUUGCUUCUCUUUAUAAUUUUUAGAGAAUUUGAUUUUUUUUCUUUAAUUUCCUUUGUAGUUUAGGGAGAAUUUGAUUGUCUUAUCAAUAUAUAAUAAUAAUAAAAAAUUAUAUAUUGCUAACUUUAGUUUAUGCAUCUUUUUACCAAUUGAAAUUCACAUGUUUUUUUUGGUAUAUACGUACUAUGGCAAGUUCUAACACAUUCCUUCUUAGAAAAAAUCUUUGAUGUCACCUAUUUGUUUUCCCAUAAAAUUUUAAAAAUAUGUUAUCUUUUAUUGUUUUAAAAUUUUCACCUUCAUGACUUAUAAUUAUUAAAGUUUUACUCUUAAUAACAUCAUUAACUCCAUAACCUUUGAGUUUUUACAUUCAUAACCUUCAAUUAUUUAAUUAUAAAAUUUAGAGAAAACACCCUAUUUCACCUUUGAACUAUACCCAAAACGGUUGAAACACACCUCAACUUAACGGGAGUCCGAUUACCCCCUGAACUAAUUAAAAGUGUAAUUUUGACACCCUUAGUGCCUACGUGGCACAUACGUGGCACACACGUGUGCCUACAUGGACCUUCAAUGUGUUGUACCACGUAGGCACUAAGGGUGUUAAAAUUACACUUUUAAUUAGUUCAGGGGGUAAUAGGACCCCUUUUAAGUUGAGGUGUGUCUCAGCCGUUUUGAAUAUAGUUCAAGGGUGAAAUAGAGCAUUAUCUCUAAAAUUUAAGAUGUCUUAUGAUAUUAUAUUCCUCCAUUUUCGUCUAUAUAAAGUCACAAUUCUUUGUGAUCAUGAGACUCAUGCUCAAGAAUAUAUCUUUUGUUAUAUAUUUUAAAUAGUGUUUCUUAUAUUAUUACUAUUAUUUAUAGUAUCAAAUUCAAGUUUUAACUUGACUCGACAAAGAAGACAUUUGAAGGUUAGUCAAUUUGUCAAAAAGGGUGUUGGACAAGAGCUCAAAAUACUAGGCAUUACUUCUGUAUUUUUUUUUAAUGUAUAGUUUCUUAUGGUUAAGAACCCAAGGAAGGUGUGUGUAUGUUGUGUGUAAAUGUGAUCUCUAUGUAAAUUCUUUAGUUUGAACUUUCUUGAUUUUUUAAUUAUUGUAAGUUGUAUUUUUAUUUAAGCACAAAUUAGUACUCUAGAGAAUCUGCGAACUACUAACCAAGGUUCAAACAAUAUCGUUGAAUAUACAGAAAGAUCUUAUUCACUCAUAAUAGUUCAUAUCCUUUACUUUCUGCUUCAAGAUUUCAACUUUCUUCUGUUCCUCGCAUAUGAGUUCUGUCCAUUUUGAAUUCUCCUUCAAUUUCUCUUCAUAUUUGGUCCUAGGGAAGAUUGUUGUUCAUUGUAAUCCUUAGCAGAGUAUCUUGAAUUUUUUAGAUUUGAUAAAUCCCCAAGAUAUUAUUGAUUAGAUAGUGUUAACCUUUUCUACUUGUUUUUAAAAAAGAAAAAACUGAUCAUCCUCUAUUCAAAUGAAACUGGAAGGUUGCGUAUCUUCUUACCACUAACAUGAGUGGGAUAAUGAAAUUGUAAUAUCCAGGUCACUAAAUUGAUUGAUAAACGCAACAUAAUGACCAACUAAUUGUAACUUCUACAGAAGAAGAAACAAAUGCAUAAAAUAAAAUUAUAGUGUUAUUAGGAAAUUAUAUAUUUUAUUUUAUUAAUUAAGAAUUUACUAUCCCUCAUUAGAAAAAAUGAUAAAUUUGCUAAGUUUAUAUAUAUUCUUGAAACUAUCUUCAUACUAGUAUUUUUUUAAAAUGAUAAUAUUAAUUUAAAAAAUAAAGUAAAUAUAAAAUUAAUCAUAACGAAUGUUUCUCUAACAAUUAUUUUAAUAAUUGUGAGCGCAAAGCGCGACCAAGUUAUCUAGUAUAUAUAUAUAUAUAUAUAUAAAGGAAACUCUUAGUCAAUCCUAUAUGGCAUGCCUUAGAGGCCUCUAAAACUAUUUAUCUUUUUUGUGGGUUUUCUCGUAUAUAUAUAUAUAUAUAUAUACACACACACAUAUGUAUGUGUGUGUGAAUAAAACUAAAUCAUCAAUUGUAGUCACUCAAAGAAAACAUCCGUUUUUUUAAAUGAUUUUUAAUAUAUUCCUUUCUUUUAUGAUUUUUCAUCUUUUCUUUUUAAUGUUUUAUGUAUCCUCUUAUAGUCUAAUUUAUCUCUUUUUUAAUUCUAAUUAUAAAUGUACAAAAAUGAUAGUAUCUCCUAAUGUUUGAAUUUUUUUUAUUUAAUUAAAAAAACUUUUCAUAACUCAAACCUCUUUAAUUUACACUCUUAAUGAUAUUCAUAUCUCUCAUUUUUUUUAUCUUCACAAUCUCCAAAAUUUAAUUUGUAAAUUUAUGAUGCCUUAUGAUAGUCCUCCAUUUUAUCUAUAGAAAUUCAUGUUUUAUGUCAUGAAAAAUCUCAUUUAAGUUAUUCUUUCCCUUCUUUAUCACUAUAGCCUCCUCUAAAUUAGCUAAAUUGUGAAAGAAAAAAAUAAUGCGAAGACAAAAAAAAAUUGUUACUCAAAAUCUUUCUUUUCAUCUUUUAUUAUUUGAUCACAUUUAGUUUAUGGGGUAUUAUGAUACAUCAAGAAGGCAAGAAAGAAUGUUCAAGAAGUUUUGAUAGAAUUAUAUAUAGUUUGAAUUACUUCUUGCUCAUUGAUUACUUAUUGGUAUGUAUAAUUUUAAUAAAAAUAUUGUAAAGGUUAAUAGAAUUUAGUGAAUAUUUAAAUAUUCAAGAAAAGAUGAAGGAAAAUGAAUCAAGAUUUUUCUAUUUUUUAUGUGAAUAGUUCAUUUUCUUUUUUUAAAAAGUUAUUUUAAUUAAAUAUUUUAUGUUAUUUGUAUAUAAUUGUGUAAAAAAAAAGUUCUUUAAUUAUUGAUGAGUGUUUCAUUUUUAUUAUUGAUCACUAAAAAUUAAAGAUGAAAUAAUUUAUUUUAUAAUAUCAUUAAUUCUUUCUUUACAUAUAUAAUUUUUUUGUCAACUUUUUCCUUGCUUGAAAUGUAGUUAAUAAUUAUUUUUGGUUUUUUUUUUCACUUAGUGUAUAUAAUAUUUUCUAUUAUUUUAUUUUUAUUUUGAAAGAGAUGAAUAGAUAUUUCUUUAAUUAUUACAUUAUAUCGGUAGAGUAUGUAGACAUUUUAUUAUUAUAAUACUGAAAUUAAUGUAUUUUUUUAUCAUGUUUCACAGAUUAUUUUGUAUAGAAAUUGUUAGAGCCUAAAGGCAAACAUGUGACAUGAAAAAGAAUAGAAUUUAAGAAUUUGGAUAUGAAAUUGAAAAGGAAAAGAGAAUUGGCACCAUGUUUUUAGGCUUAAGUCACUUCUCGCCUUUUAAAGUUGCAUGUAGUGUUAACCUAAACAUCUCAACUAAAAUUAUAAUUAUUGUACAUCUAGAUUAUCCAAAUAUGUACAUAUUUAAAGUUAAUGAUAUAAUCACAUCUUUUGAGAAUUCUCACCUCAUAUAAAAGAAGAUGUACCUAUUUGAAAUUAAUGAUAUAACUGUUGGACAAUAAAAUUUCGAGACCGAAAAAUAAAUAAUCGAGACAAGAAUAAUAUUGCAACAAUCAAUGUAUUGAUUUCAAUGUGAGUGUUACAAUCUCUAUGAAUCCUCUGAUUCGCCUUUUCAAAUAUAAAUUCAAGUGUUUAAAGCUUGAUCUUGAAUUUGAACUUGAUUUGUUGAUUUGAUGGACUUGAUCUUGACUUGUGCUUGAAUUCAAGGGUUUUUUUAGCUUGUUCUUGAAUCUUGCGGUCUUGAUCUUGAAUCUUGAUUAACUGGAAUUGAGUGUUUGAGCUUGGUAGAGAAAUUGCAGCGUUUGAUCCACGAGUUUUCUCUUAUUUCUUGUUAGAGUUCUUGAUCUUUUUUCGGAAUUAUGAGAUCCCUAUUUAUAGUUGUGGAAAGAAAAGAGUCAUGAUGAAGAUGGACUCUCUUUGACCAAUCAAAUUCAAGUGACGUGGCGCCUUUUAUGGGGUUUUGAUUUUACUCAGCUUGCUGCAUCAUUUUGACAUGUGGCAUGGUCCUACUGGCUCCUUCCCAUGACUUUGCAUGCCACGUCAUUUGACACGUGACGAUCAUUUGGGCCUCUAGAUUAUGACAAUAUCUUGGGCUUAGCAAAGUGGACUCACCAUUUGUAGCCCAAAUUAAUGGACUAGCCCAAUAAUUAUUGGACUUUAUUUAAAUCCAUAUAUGUUCGGACUUAAAUAAUUAAUCCAAUUAUAUUAAUCUGCAAUAUUUAUUUGGGACUAACAUAUUUUCAAUUUAUUAUAAUUCGAAUUUCAUAUGAAUUUAGAUUUAAUAAAAUUUCAUCGCCCACAAUAACCACAUCUUUUGAAAAUUCUCUUCACAUGUAAAAGAGUGUCGAGAUUCAAAGCGCAAUAUUUAACGCACCAAAUUAUUACAAAAAAUGAUCGUUAAUAGAUAAAUAUUUGCAUGUCAGUGUAUCUUAUUUAUAUCUAACUAAACAAUUAAUCUAUAAUACUUAUAAAACUAAGAAUAUAUAAAACAAUAUAACACAUCUCUUUUUCCAAGAAAUAUAAUGACGUAUUUUUUUCUCCUUUUGGAGAGUUUUCUCUAUAUUUUUCUUCAUUUUUGUGCCUUAUUAUAAAGCUAAAAUAUUCACUCUUUUAAAUCAUUUAAGUAUAUUAUAUUAAAUAUGGAAGUUAAGAUACUAAAAAGUCAUUUUCUUAAAGUUCUUUAUGUAAAACUUAAUGGUCUUUAUUUCAUUACUUUCACAAAUUUUUAUUAUCGUAAUUCCUAAAACAAUUAAUAAUCAUAUUCAUAACAUUAUUUGGUGUUCCAUAUUGUAGUCAUGUAAAUAGAUAUAUUAUAAGACUUUGUAGAAAUAAUCACAUUUGUCAUUUAAGUUAUUAGAGUAUAUUUUUCGCUGCUUAUUAUAUUCAUUAAAAUAGCAACAUAUUACUGAAAAUCUAAUAUAUAACUAUUACCCAAACAUUUGUCUUUAUGAAAUCUCAAUUAUAUUAAUAAAAUUAUUGAUAUCUUACAUAUUUUAUAAGACCGCGCAAAGCACGAACAAAUUCACUAGUUUAUUAUAAUAGAAUAAAAUUACUAUUUAGAUAUAAACAAAAAUACCACUACCCAAUAACAUAACUAUUUGAUCGUAUUUACCAUAAAUAUUAUAUAACUUGGAACCAAACAUGGUAAAUCUAUAUAUAAUAUAAAGGACAGUCACAGACAAGGUAAUGUGGCACCUCUCUAUGACCUUCAUUUCUAUUUAUCUAUUUUUUUCUUUUUUAAAUUCUUUUCUCAUUUUUAAAAAUUAUUUUUCAAUAAAAAGUUUUAUAUAUAUAUAUAUAUAUAUAUAUAUAACUCAUAUCUUUUCAUCUUCAUAACAUCUACUCUUAAUUAAUACUUAUUGUUAACAUCCAUAAUUCCCAAAGCUUUGAUGUUUAUAACUUUAAUGCAUUAUACCUUCAAGUUUUUGUUUAAUGAAGUGGAUGCUAUAAAGUUUUCAGUUGGCCUAGCACAUUUUCUUAUCAACGAGUUCUUGUUUCAAUUUUAGGACUUUGUGCAUUUUCACCCAGCUUGGAUGAUUCAUUUUUGGCUCUUCCGGCCAGUACACCAAAGGAUCUUUGUUAGUCUAUAAUGUUUUCAACCUCCAUUUGUACUGUGAGGUCGCAUUUUUUACUGUCAUGUAUUAAUUUUACGCGAUCAUUAUAAAAAGGUCAACGAAUUUAUUUAAGGUAUGAAUAAAAAGCAUUUUAGAACAUAAUUUUAAUUUCAUCUUUUUUUUUUAUUUUAUUUUUAAAAUGAUUUGAAUAUGUUAUGUUGUAAUAUAUUAUAUCUUGCCAAUUUAAUUCUUUAACUACAGUAUUUUCUUGCAUUUUUCAUGCUUAGUUUUUUUUUUCUGUUUUAGAAAGAUUUGGUUAUAUUAUAUUGUAAUAGAGUUCAUCUUUUACUUGCAAUUCUUAACUAUAGUAUUCCUUACAUUUUUCAUGCUUAGUUAUUUUUUUAUUGAUGAUAUUAAUAUUUUAUAUCUCCAGGUUACUAUAUUUUGAAAAGUGGGAGAAGGAAGACAACUCAUACGUGCAUGUUGCUUAAGAAACAAUACAUAUUUCCUCAGACAAAUUUUGAAUAAGCCUAUUAAUAGAAAAUAAAAAUGUAAAGUUAGUUUGUGGUACUUUCUAUAAUAUAGUUUAAUUCAUAAAAAUUAUUUAUCGACAUAUAAAAAUGUAAUCCUUAAGUUUUCUUUUUGGUUAUUGAUUAAACUUCUCAAUAUUCUUAGGUUUUCAUAGAUCAUUAUAAUAAGUGGUGAAGUCAAAAUUUUCACUAAGGGAGUUUUAAAAUGCGUACGCUAACUAGCCCAAGAGGGUUCAGAUGAACCCCUAAAUAUGUGCUAGCUCCGUCUUUAGUUAUAGUCCUAUGUUGUCCUAAACUAUCUUUUAAGAUUACUACCUAACAAAAUUAUAAAAGAUGUUUCGUUCGAUAAAUUAUUUACUAAAGGGAGUUUAAAAAUACGUACGCUAAUUAGCCCAAGAGGGUUCAGAUGAACCCCUGAAUAUGUGCUAGCUCCGCCGUAAGUUAUAGUCAUAUGUUGGCAUAAACUAUCUUUUAAGAUUACUACCUAACAAAAUUAUAAAAGAUGUUUCGUUCGAUAAAUUAUUUACUAAAGGGAGUUUAAAAAUAUGUACGCUAACUAGCCCAAGAGGGUUCAGAUGAACCCCUGAAUAUGUGUUAGCUCCGCCUUUAGUUAUAGUCAUAUGUUGGCUUAAACUAUCUUUUAACGUUACUACUUAACAAAAUUAUAAAAUAUAUUACGUUCGAUAAAUUAUUUACUAAUGUCAUUUGUCGUCCCUAAUGAAAAGACCACACAAGAAUCAUGCAUAAUUUUUUUAUUUAAUUAUAAUCUCAUUACCAUUGUAUUUAUGAUUAAUAGUUGAUUAUGUCAUCAGUUAUAAAAUAUCUUUCAUCUCUAUUGGUAUGCCCCACUAUAUUGCUCUCCUAUAUAUGCUUAAUGUCCACAGCUUCACUCUUUACUAUUUAACAUUUUGCAACAGUGUGAUUAUGAUCAAGACUACAGGUAUGUUUGAUAUGGAGGAAAACAUUUUCCAGAAAAUGUUUUCUAAUUUUCUCAUGUUUGGUUGGCUUAAAGGUUUUGAAAAAUGUUUUUCAAAUCAACUUAUUUUCCUCAUUUCUAAGGAAAAUGACUUUCCUUCAAAAAGUAAGGAAAACAUUUUUCAAAACUCUCUUUCAACCUCUCUCAUAAGUUGAAAUAUUCAUACAACCCUCAAAAUCACUCAACCCUACUCCGACCCCCUACCUCCACACGCCCCUCCCCCCUUUUUGGGUUGCAUAACAAAUAUCUGGAAUGGAUUAAUUGCUGCUUCAAUGUUUCAGCAUACCGUAUUGCAAAAAGAUAUAGUGAUCAUUUUGAAGUUGUGUGUCUGUUCCAGUAUCUGAGCCAAAAGAAAAAACUGGAAGCUGAAGAGAGGCGUGUUAAACAGAAAAAAGCUCGNNNNNNNNNNNNNNNNNNNNNNNNNNNNNNNNNNNNNNAUUUUUUUUAAAAAAAUUAAAAUUGCUUAUACCCCACCCUUAUUACCUAUUUUGACAACUUCAAGCCCCACCUACCACCCCUCUUCAAAAAAAAAUAAUAUUUUUAAUUUAUUUUCUUAAAAAAAUUUAGAACUUUUUUCUUACCUCACCCUUUUUAUCCUAUUCAUUCUUAUUGUUUUUGUUAAAUAUAUACAAAUACUUUUAGAAAACAUAUACUUAUCCAAUUUGCAUAACGAACACACGAAUAUAAGUAAGAAAUAACUUAUUUUUCUAGAAAAUAUUUUUCCUCCUUCAUAUCGAACACACCCUAAAAAAGGUAUUUUUUGAGAUCAAAAAUUAUUUUUCUAAAAUAUAUUUUUAUGCUUUAACUAAACGCUAGAAUGUAUUUUUUGAAAAAUAUUUUUUCAUUCACCAAUCAAAUACUAUAAAAUAUUUUGCAUCAACCAACCAAACAUAGAAAAAAAGUAAGAAAUCAACUUGUUUUUCAGGAAAACAUUUUUCUUCAUACCAAACACAGCCUACGAGGAAAAAAAAUUAUAGGUGGGAGACAAGAAGUUUGGACAAAUAUAUGGUGGUGGUGGAUACCUAUUGAAGUUGUUAAAGUAUGACACUAAAAUUUUUUGCUAUAACUUGAAAGUGUUAGCAUCAAUCAAAUUAUGACCUUGAAUUCUCUCGAUUUGAAAAUUCAAGAUUUACUUCAAUAUUCUCAUUUUUUUUAAAAAAAAAAUAUUUCUCCUAAUUUGCAUUAGGUUAAUCUAAAGAACUCAUUGCAAUUGAAGUUUAGUAUUUCACGAUGUACAAUAAUUUAAUAAUAAUUAUUUUUGAUAUUUAAAUAUCUUAACAGUUGUCACAAGUAAGAAAAAGUUUUGUCAUAAUCUAUUAUGCUUAUACAAAAGUUUUUUCAGCGAAAUUUUUUUGUUAUAAUGAUAAUAACAAAGUGAAUUUAAUUAGUCACAAAUUUAUAAUGUUUGAACACUGAAAGAUUCACAAUAUACUCUAGGGAUGAAAAAAUUAUUUUUGUGUAUAUUGAUAUGAUACUACAUGUGUUUGGUAUCAUUGUAUACAACUAAAACAUUCUGUGAUCGAGUUUCAUAAUUUAAGAUCCUUUGAUUAUUUUUUAAUAUAUUAAAAAUAGAUUAAAUUAUAUAUUUAAUAAUGUAUUUCAUAACCGCACGAUGCAAGGCUAAGUUUACUAGUAGCAUACUAAAACAAGAUAAAUUUCAACAAUAAUGUGAAAAUUAUUUGAAAUAAUAGUGAAUAUUAAUUAAAUGCGAACCAAUUAAAACCACGACCAGGGAGACUAAACGAGAAGUUAGAAAGAAAAAAAUGGACAAAACAACAGAAUAAACAUUAUACUCCAUUCGUUCAUAAAUAAGUCAUGUGUAUAGUCUUUUCCUUUUGUAUCUUAAUAAGUGAACUUUUAGAUAAUAUAUGAAGAAAGCUUAUAUGACUCCUUGGAGUGGGGAUUUCUGAAACAAAUGUUUAUAGGCUUGAACUUCCAUGUAUACCAUUCGUUCAGUGGAUUAUGAAGUGCAUUACUACACUACAGUAUCCUACUCAAUAGGAAUUAAUGGUAGACCUUCUAAUCCUUUCCCUGCAAAGAACGGCUUGAGAUAAGGUGAUAUCUUGUCUUGUUAUCUAUUUGUCCUGACGAUUGAAUACUACUUGAUCAGAUUGCUGAAGAAUCCAAACUUUAAUUUCCGUCCUAGAUAUGAACAAAAUGAAUAUAGUGCAACUCGAUCGGAUUUGCAGAUGAUCGCCUAAUUCUAUUUUGUCGAGGAGAUGUUGUUUCCGUCCAAAUGGUAUAUGAAGGCUUUCAACGUUUCUAGAGCCUCUAGUUUAGUUGCAAAUCUAGACAAUAGCUCUGUUUACUUUGGGGGAGUCACUCAAGAUAUACAACAGCAGAUUUUGGAAAGAUUGGAGAUGGUGAAAAAGAUACUGCCCAUAAGGUAUUUUGGAGUUUCACUUAGCACUAAAAGGUUGAUAAUUAUGCAGUGUUAACCACUACUUGAUGAUGAAGUUUGGACACUUUAAUAUUAAUAAAAUACAUCUUUGCAUGUUUAAUACGGUACAUCCGUUAGUGUCCAUGCAUGAACGAAUUCAUUCUUCCACUUUAAGUACUCUCAUUUAGAGAGUAUCAUUAUGUGGAGUAAAUUCUCCUUUUUGAUGCCUAACCGUAACAGUGCUGCUUAUCCAUAGAUAUUGGUUCAAGUGGCAGUGAAUGAAUAACAUUCUUCUGAGUUAUUGGCCAUUACUUGGCUUUAUUUUCUUUUUGUAACCUAUCAUGGCCAUUAGUGGCUCAUUAUAUUGCAACUUACGUUAGAGGGUGAACGUUGACGUAUUGACAUUUAAUCUUUGUAAUUUCUAACCAUUUUAUUCCUCCAUUAUCCUACUCUUUAUGUGUUGUAACUCUUGUAAUUUUGUAACCUCUAUUCUAUUUAUCUUCUCAUUUAUUCAUCCUAUUCAUUGCAUGGAAGAUUUCUUCACCUAUAAAUAGAGGUGAUCUUGCAUGAUUAUGAUAUAUACAAGAUAAUAUAGAGUUCACAAAAAGUUAGUAAAAAAGAGAGUUUAUUAGUUGAAGUGAGGUAUUCUUUUUGCGGAGUUUUGAACUCAACUCUUGUCCAGAGUUGUUGAGUUGUUCUUUGAUAAGGUUGUUGUAUCCUGGAGAAGACAAGUCAAUAAGAUUACUACUAGACCGGUGAAACUAUUUGCUGCUGUAGACUUGAAUCUCCUUAAAGAGAGAGAGAUAUUCGAGCCUCAGCCGAAGAAGAAAAAGAUAUUCCUUUUUAUUUUCUUUACUUGUAAUUUUCAGUUGUAAUUUUAUUGUAAUUUCACUAACAAUUUUAAGGAGAUUCAAUGGCAACAACUGAAAAAUUUGUGGAUAUCAAGAUGGGAGAUCUUAACAAGCCAUUUAGAUUUAACGGUACUCACUUCAAGAGGUAGAAGGGUAAAGAAAGUAGAUAAUUCUUCCAUGACCGACCAUAAACUUAUUUCUCUACGAGAGAAAAUUGAAAAAUAUAAUGGUGACUCCUACAAGUACUGUCGAUAUUUUUUACUUAAUUAUCUAUCUGAUAAUUUUUAUGAUUAUUAUGAUAGAACUCACUCUAGUGCAAAGAAAAUUUGAAAAACCUUGCAGAGUAAAUAUGACACUGAGGAGGCGGGAGCGAAAAUAUAUGCGGCUAGCAGAUUUUUUUAUUUUCAACUGGUGGACAACAAAUUAGUGAUAGACCAAGCUCAAGACUUCAUAAUGAUUGUUGGCGAGCUCAGGUCUGAGGAAGUCAAAAUUGGAGAUAACCUUAUUGUUUGUGGUAUAAUUGAUAAACUUUCACCUUCAUAGAAGAAAUUUCAAAAAACUAUUUGCCAAAAGCAAAAGGAAACUUCUUUGGAGACUUUGAGAAUGAAAAUUCGCAUGGAAGAAGAGGCAAGGGGCCAAGAUGCACUUUUGCAAACAGAAGAAAACAAUAUCACACCGAAGGUAAAUUUAACUUCUUCAAAUAAUGUUUCCCCUGAAACUAACAAAAAUACUCCUUUGAAGACUAAGAAGAAAAAAUUCAAGAAAAAUGAUGGUAAACAUUCCAAGGACAAUAAUAAAGGUGGAAACAACCAAGCAAAAAAUUAACAUGUAUAAGAAAAAAGAUCGUGCUUUAUCUGUGGCAAGAGUGGACAUAUUGCUCGAUUUUACAAAUUUUGAAAACGUGGAUCUACACCUCAGGCAAACAUUACCGAAGAAUUAAUUGUGGCGAUGAUAACAUACAUAAAUAUGGUGGAGAAUAUUGAUGGAUGAUAGGUUGGCUCUGGUGCAAACCGUCAUGUCUGUUAUGACAAUGACUGAUUUGAAAAUAUACUCUUUUUGAGGAUCCCAAAACCAUCAUGCUUGGAGAUUCACACACAACUCAAGUGUUUGGAAUGGGAGAUGUUGAGUUGAGAUUUACUUCUGAAAGGGUAUUAAUUUUAAAAUGUACUUUAUACUCCUUCCAUGAGAAAAAAAUUGAUGUCUAAUUAUCUUCUUAAUAAAGCAGGCUUCAAACAUAUUAUUGAAUUUGACCAAUAUGCAAUUGUGAAAAAUAAUAUUUUUGUGGAAAAGAGGUAUGCAUGUGAUGGUAUGUUCAAGUAAAAUGUUGAAAUGAAGUAACCAUCUACUUCUGCUUAUAUGUUUUCUUCUACUAAUUUUUGGCAUGCUCGUUUGUGUCAUAUAAAUAAUCGUUAUGUGGGAAUAAUGAGUUGUUUAGGAUUAAUUCUAGUGAUCAAAAAGAAUUUUGAAAAAUGUGAGGCUUGUAGUAAAGCCAAAAUCACAAAAAGACCUCAUUUUCAAAUUGAAAAAAAAAGCUGAUUUAUUAGAAUUAGUUCAUACCGAUAUUUGUGAACUUGGAAGAAUUUUAACCCCUAGAAGAAAUAGAUAUUUUAUCACUUUCAUUGAAGAUUUUUCUAAGUUUACAUAUGUUUACUUAAUGAAAAAUAAAAGUGAGAACUUUAAAACUUUUUUUCAUGAAGUUGAAAAUCAGUUUGGUAGAAAAAUAAAAAGAAUAAGAAGUGAUAGAAGCCGUGAAUAUGAGUCACAUGAGUUCAAUUCUUUUGUUAGCUCAUUGGGUAUAAUUCAUGAAACUCCUCCUCCUUAUGCGUCUGCAUCUAACGGUGUAGCAGAAAGAAAAAAUAGAACUUUAGUUGAGUUAACUAAUGUCAGUUUGAGGUUGCUUAACCUAUGUAAGGUUAAUGGAUCCUAAAAUUUCUAAGUUGGGUAAAAAAGUUACUACUUGUGCUUUUCUUGAAGAUAGUGUGCUAAUAGAAUCUGGUGAUGCUAUAUUUCAUGAAAAUAAAUUUCCUUUUAAUUCUAAAAUAGAUGUGGGUCUAAGGACUAAAGAAAAUAUUUUGUCACUACCUAGUUCUUCUACUUAUACUUUAAAAAAUAAAGAAAAUAAUGAUUUUGAGUUAAGAAGAAGUGAACGAGUUAGAGUAGAAAAAGAUUUUGAUCCUGAUUAUUAUGUUUUUAACGUUGGAGAUGACCUUCUCACUUUUAAAGAAGCUUUGUAUUCACAUGAUGCUAUUUUCUGAAAAGAGACUGUAAUUGAUGAAAUGGAAUCACUAAUUUUCAAUAAAACUUGGAAGCUAGUUGAUUUACCUUCGGAUUGUAAAACAAUUGGAUGUAAAUGGAUGUUACGUAAAAAGUUAAAAUCGGAUGGAUCUUUUGAUAAAUACAAAGUUAGGCUAGUGGCUAAAGAUUCUAAACACCUAGAAGGCCAAGAAUUUUUGAUACUUUUUUCUCCGGUAACUAGAAUUACUUUCAUUAGACUUUUAGUUGCUAUUGCGGUAAUUUUUUAUUUACAAAUUCAUCAAAUGGAUGUAAAAACUGUUUCUUUAAAAUGGAGACCUAAAUAAAGAGAUUUACAUAAAACAACCCGAAUAUUUUAUUGAAGCUGGUCAAGAAAGCAAAGUGUGUAAACUUACUAAUUCCCUAUAUGGCUUAAAACAAGCACCAAAGUAAUGGCAUGAAAAGUUUAUUUCCUGCAUGAUUGGUAAUAGAUUUAAAACAAAUGAGUGUGACAACUGCAUAUAUCAUAAGUUUUAGAAUAAUUCACAUGUUAUUAUUUAUCUAUAUAUGUUGAUGAUUUAUUGAUCUUUGGCUCAAACAUGAAUGUUAUUGUUGAAACUAAAAAUAUUCUUAGAAACCAUCUUGAUAUGAAAGAUCUUGGUGAGACAAAUUUUAUUCUAGGAAUAAGAAUUACUAAAAUAUGUGAUGAAAUUUUCCUUGACCUGGCACAUUAUGUUGAGAAAAUUUUGAAAAACUAUAAUUUCCUUGAUUGCAAGCAUGUUGUAACUUCAUUUGAUUCUAGUGUUCACUUGCUUUAUUAAAAGUGAAAAUGAUGAAAUAUGUGACUGAUUGCACUAGGCCUGAUAUUGUAUAUGCAGUAGGAGUACUUAACAAGUUUACUAGCAAGCCAGGUAAUGAAUAUUAAUAUGCUAUAACGAGAGUAAUGAGAUAUUUAAGUGGAAUGAAAAAUUGUGGUUUGUUAUAUCAAAAAUAUCUUGUUGUACUUGAAGGCUUUUGUGAUGCGGAUUGAAAUACUUUAACAGGUGAUUCCUUAUCUACUACUGGUUAUAUUUUUACUUUGGGUGGUGGUGCUAUUUGUUGGAAAUCUAAAAAGCAAAUAAUUAUUGUUAACUCUCCCAUGGAGGCUGAACUAAUUGCUUUAGCUUUAGCUAGUGAGCAAGCGAAUUGGUUGAGAGAUUUGUUAUUUCAAAUACCUUAUUUUGAAAAAUUAAUUCCUACUAUAUUAGUUCAUUGUGAUAGCAUCGCUGCAAUUGAUAGAGUUCAAAACCGUUAUUAAAAUGGUAAAUUCAGACCUAUAAGGAGAAAACACAAUAAUGUAAGAUCAUAUUUGACAAAUGGUAUCAUUAAUGUUGAUUAUGUCAAAUCUUAUGAUAAUCUUGCAGAUCUAUUGACUACUGAAGCAUAUCUAAGGGAUGAGAUUGAAGCCUAUUGAAUCUUGAGUCAUAUAUGAGGAAACUCAACCUGGGGACUAGUGAUCCUAUAACCAGGUUUAAUGGAAAAAACAAAGCACAUGAUGACUUGUUGUGAAAAAUGUACUAUUUUUUCUCCCUCCCGAUGAUGUGAGUGCAUUUACCUGGAUGAUUGUGAGGUUGAGUUUAAGAAACUCUUAUGAAAAUUUAUAACUCGUAUGAGUGGGGUACUAAAUUAUAGGAGCACUCUCGACAUAUUUCACCUAUGUGAGUGUGGAGGUAGGCCGCUUUCUAUGAAAAUUAGGCUCAUUCUCAAAAGAUACUUAUUAAAAUCGGGAUAGCACAAGGUCAUAAUGUGUUGGUUAUAAAACUCAUUUCAACACCUUGACUAUUAUGUGUAAGCAGUAACUUUUUAUUUUCUCUAAGCAGUCAUAAUUUAAAUCUGAGACCACUAUGAUUCUGGAGUAAAAAUUACUAUAUUACUAAGUGGAGGUUCAAUGCAGAGCACACCUUCAUUAUGCAUGAUAGUCUUCCUUCAAUUCGUAGACUCUCUUGUGUUAAUAUCAAAUUGAGUGGGGAAUUGGUAAAGUUUGGACAUUUUAAUAUUAAAAAAAUACAUCUUUGCAUGUUUAAUACGGUACGUCCGUUAGUGUCCAUGCAUGAAGGAAUUCAUUCUUCCACUUUAACUCUCAUUUUGAGAGUAUCAUUAUGUGGAGUGAAUGAAUAACAUUCUUCUAAGUUAUUGGCCAUUAGUUGGCUUUAUUUUCUUUUUGUAACCUAUAUUGGCCAUUAGUGGCUCAUUAUAUUGCAACUUAUGUUAGAGGCUGAACGUUGAUAUAUUAACCUUUAAUCUUUGUAAUUUCUAGCCUCUUUAUUCCUCCAUUAUCCUAUUUUUUAUGUGUCGUAAUUCUUAUAACUUUUGUAACCUCUAUUCUAUUUAUCUUCCCAUUUAUUCUUUCUAUUCAUUUUAUCUUCCUAUUUAUUCUUCCUAUUCAUUGCAUGAAAGAUUUCUUCACCUAUAAAUAGAGGUGGUCUUGCAUGAUUUUGAUAUAUACAAGAUAAUGUAGAGUUUACAAAAAUUAGUAAAAAAGAGAGUUUAUUAGUUGAAGGGAGGUGUUAUUUUUGUGGAUCUUUGAAUUUAACUUUUGUCCAGAAUUGUUGAGUUAUUCUUUGGGAAGACUGUUGUAUCUUGGAGGGGACAAGUCGAGAAGAUUACUGUUGGACCGGCGAAACAAUUUACUGCGGUGGGCUUGAAUCUCCUUAAAGAGUGCGAGAUAUCCGAGCCUUAGCCAAAGAAGAAGAAGAUAUUUCUUUUUAUUCUCAUCACUUGUAAUUUUCAGUUGUAAUUUUAUUGUAAUUUGCACCAAUAAUUGACAAGAUGACGGACAAAACCACAUCCCGGACUACUAAGUUUCUAACAUAUGCUCGGAGGCUUCAAUUGAUUAAUGUCGUUCUCUUUUCCAUUCAAACAUUUUGGUCUUCUCAGAUAUUUAUUUUGCUAAAAAGGAUAAUUCAAGUGGUGGAAAUUACUUGCAAAAGGUCCUUAUGGACCAGAAGUAACGAGCUCCCAAAAAGGCUCUAUUAGCUUGGGAGAAAAUUUAUUAUCCUAAAGUGGCAGGGUACUUCAAUGUACUUGACGUACUAGUAUGGAACAGGGUGGCUAUUUGCAAUCUGCUCCAAAAUUUAUGCAGGAAAAAGGAUACUUUACGGGUGCAAUGGGUAUGUACUUACUAUAUAAAAGGUAGAGAGAUCGGAUCGUUUUCAUGCAAGGAAGCUUCGUGGAUAGAACUGAAAAUUCUAAAGGUCAAGGAACAUCUGAAAAGUGUUGGUGGCAACAUCCCUGAACUAAGUAAUAUGAAGAUUUUCACUAUCAAAGACCAUGUAUAAGAAGCUGAGACGAACUUUUAGCAAGGUGACAAUGGAGAAAAUUAUUGUGUAACAAUUUUGGGGGCUAAAUGAAUUUUUAUUGUUUUUAUGACAUUGCAUGAAAAGCUAUAUAAUAAGGAUAGACUUGCUAAAUGGGGGCUGGUGGAUGAACAAAAAUGCAUCUUGUGUAAUUCUAAGGAUGAGACAAUUGAACAUUUAUUUUUUUUUUGUUGUGCAUUCUCAAAUUAUAUUUGUGAAAAAUUAUUAAGAUGGAAAGAGAUAAAUAGGCGUUUAAUGGAGUACUGAUAAGAAGAUCGAGCUGAAUUAGCUGCAACUCAUGCCACAGGAAAAAAUGUAGUGGUUGAGGUAUUUAGAAUGAUAAUGGCGGGUUGUGUAUAUCAUCUUUGCUUGGAACACUACUAGAAAACUGUUUAUUACUUGGGAUUUUCAUAGGGAUAAUGUGGUAAAAUCCCCAGGUAAUUUGAUUACUUGUGGAUUUUCUUACCAAUUAGAAUCCAAAGGAAAUACCUUCGUAGGUAAUUAUUACCUGCAGAUUUAUAAAAUCCCUAGGUAAUCUAGCUGUGGAAAUAAAUCUACAGGUAUGUUAUUUGCGGAUUUAUCUGCAGAUUUUACCUGCGAAUUUUUACGAAAAAAUCAUAAAUUAUUCCCCACGAAUAUUUCCAAGUAAAUUCCUAGGUAAUUUAGCUGCGAAAAUAAAUUCAUAGGUACGUUAUUUGCGGAUUUAUUUGCGAUUAAAUAUCAAAAUUUUACAUGAAUUAUUUGGUAAAAUUUCAUAAAAAGGAUUUUACCUGUGAAUUUUCAGGAAAAAAUUUCCAAAUUAUUCCCCACGAAGAUUUUCAAGUAAAUUCCUAGGUAAUUUAGUUGCAAAAAUAAAUCCGCAGGUACAAUAUUCGCGGAUUUAUUUACAAUUAACCAUAAAAAUUUUGCAUGAAUUAUUUGGUAAAAUUUCUUGCAGUUAUUUAUGAAACUAUUCCGCAAGAAAAUUCUUAUGAAAUACCCCAAAUAAAUCCGCAAGAACAAAUGUUUUCAAAAAAGAUUUCAUAAAUAUUUAGCAUAUACAUCCCCAUAAAAAUUUUCAAAUAAUAAUUCACACGUAAAUUACUAAAAAUAUUUCACAAUUAAUUAAAAAUCUAUUUAAAACUUUCAAUAAUUCUCAAAAACAUCAUUCAAUACAAAUCUAAUGUAAAUCCUCACAGCUAACAAAAAAAUACAUAAUUCUAAACAUCCACAUCAAUAAUAUAUAAUUCUUAAAUGGUCCAAAACAAAAUAUUUUAAACUUGAAUCCUCAAUAAAACUACCAACCAUCAGGAUCAGAUCACUUUCAUUCACGUUAUCAGGAUUAUCAAUUUCAUUCACGUCGUUAGAGUCACCAUCACUUUCAUCCUCAUAAGCUUGGUUGUCUUCUUGAGAUGGGUGUAAUCAUUUGCAGAUGAUUUCUUAUAUACAUGUUUCAUCAAGAAGUCUAAUUCCUUUCUCAUCCUCCUUCCACAAUUGAUGCACUUUGAGCAACUAAUAUUUCUUGUUUCUUUCUUUCAAACUUAUUCUGCAUAAGAAUAUGUUAAUUCAGGUCAUAAAAAGUGCUAAAAAUACAUUAUUAGCAUAAAUUAUAUGAUAUUAUAGUAUCAAAUAAAAUCAUAACAAUCAACAAAUAUAAAUAUGUAUAUAUUAGCAUUUUCAAGUAACUAUAAUUAAUCAUUUUCAAGUCACUAGUAUCAUUUCAAGUCACAACACUUGACCAUUUUCAAGUAACUAAUUCACAUUUCAAGUCACUACACUUAACCAUUUUCAAUUCACUAGUACAUAUUUCAAAUCACUACACUUAACCAUUUUCAAAUAAUUAAUUCACAUUUCAAGUAAUAUACUUAACCAUUUUCAAGUAAAUAUACCUAACCACUUUCAAGUAACUAAUUCACAUUUCAAGUAACUACACUUUAACAAUUUUCAAGUCACUAGUACACAUUUCAAGUCUGUAUACUCAACCAUAUUUUCAAGUAACUACCACUACUAGAAAAAACAAGCAUGUGGUCGCUUUUCCUGUUUUCACUUCAAGUCGCUAAUUCACUUCAUAAGUUACCAAACUAAACUAAAUUCAAAAUAAGAGUUCACCUUUCAAAUACCUACACUUGAAACAUUUUCAAGUCACUAUUCACUUCACAAGUUACCAAACUAAACUAAAUUCAAAACAAAAUUUCACAUUUCAAGUACCUACCCUUAAACAUUUUCAAGUCACUAAUUCACUUCACAAGUUACCAAACUAAACUAAAUUCAAAAUAAAAGUUCACAUUUCAAGUACCUACACUUAAAAUAUUUUCAAGUUGCUAAUUCACUUCUCAAGUGACCAUGUACUUUACUCAACAACAACAAACUCAGUGUAUUCCCACCUAGUGGGGUCUGGGCGGGGUAAGAUGUACGCAGUCCAUACCUCUACCUCUGAUGAAGUAGAAAGGCUGAUUCCGAAAGACCCCCGGCUCAAGACACGAGAUACCACACAAACACAUAGUAAAACACAGAAGCAGAUUACAUAACAUAAAUACGACACCCAUAAGUAUUAUAAAACAGAGAAAAACAGAGGAAAGCACACAGAUUCGUAAUAAAACAUGGAACACGAAACACGGAAUCAUAACAGGAAUAUACUUUACUAAAUUCAAAAUAAAGGAUCACAUUUCAAGUACCUACACUUAAGCAUUUCAAGUAACUAAUUCACUUCACAAGUGACCAUGUACUUUACUAAAUUCAAAAUAAAGGAUCACAUUUCAAGUACCUACACUUAAGCAUUUCAAGUAACUAAUUCACUUCACAAGUGACCAUGUACUUUACUAAAUUCAAAAUAAAGGAUCACAUUUCAAGUACCUACACUUAAGCAUUUCAAGUAACUAAUUCACUUCACAAGUGACCAUGUACUUUACUAAAUUCAAAACACAAGUUCACAUUUCAAGUAACUACACUUAUACAAAUCGAAGUCACUAAUUCACUUAUCAAGUGACCAUGUACCUUACUAAAUUCAAAACAAAACUUCACCUAUCAAGUACCUACACUUAAAAUAUUUCAAGUCACUAAUUCACUUCACAAGUUGCCAAACUAAACUUAAUUCAAAACAAAAGUCCACCUUUCAAGUACCUACACAUAAAUCCCUGCCCCUGAGCAGUCCUUAAUUUUAAACACCCUGUGCUACCUAACAAUCCAUUCCAAGAUUUAGGGAGUACAUUCUACUUGGCUACUUGCUCUCUGUUUCCCCUAAGAAUACCCUCUCACAAACAUGAAGAGAACCAAGCAUUUCUGGCGAAUCGAUGAGAGUACAAUUCAAGAUUGGACACAACAUGAUCAGUGAAAAGUGAAAUCAAACCUAACGCAAACAGCAUUAACCCACAAACUUUGGUAAUAAACUAUGAACUCAUCAUGUCACAAUGCCAGUUAACACCAAUCGCGUAAUAAACUUAUUCAAGGAAAUAUUUUCAAGAAGAGAUCAUAUUCACAGAAUAACAGACCAUGAACACGGUAUUCGGCCUAAUACCACUAGUAUCAUUACUAUGGGUUUAACAAAAUUCAACUUAGUAAUCACAAACACAGAAGCUAAAUUACCUAAUAGUUAUGAUUAAUCACAACUACUUUUACAGUGAGACUAGAAUAUAUUUUAUUGCUCGUACAUCUCAAGAUUACAAAUCCUUAUUCAUUGUACAUUAGAUAAAUCAAGAUUACAAAUCUUUCAUAGAUAACAUUUCUAGAAAAUAUAUACUUUGCCAUACAAACUUGACAUGAUGAAAUUAAAAACUAAAAUUUUGAAUCAAGCACCAUAUUAGACAAUUACGCAAAUAAAGCUAGCUCAAAUCACUAUAGGGAAUGACGUCUAUCUUGGUUUAUUUUGGGCUUACCAGCAGAUGGACGAGUGAUGACCGAAGGGCUGCUUGUAGCUAAUCUAUUUGAAUUUGUUUUUUCAAUCUCUUUUAGCUUCGUCUUCAUUUUCAGCAACUCGAAUUUCAGCUCCUAAUUUUCUUGUUUUAGACUAGAGACCUCGUCUGAAAUAGAGCGGAUAUCAGUGGAGAACUGAUGAUUCAUUUUGGAAAGAACAAGAGCUGGAGAUUCAGUUGCUACAAGCUGACUCUCAUCCAUGACAUCACGAAGAUGUUGUUGCUCAUAGUAAAGUACUUGUACAACUGUGGGCUCGAGCCGGUGGGGAUGGCGGUUGGUCGCUGGUCUCCAAUGACCUUCGGCGUUGGUGGCUUGCCGAUGGAGCAACGGUGAGGAAGGGGAAGAGGCGGCAGCUUUGGUGGCCUUUGCUCUUUGAGAAAGAGAGAUAGUAGAGAGAAGUUAGAGAGAGAAGGAGGGUGGUGUGCGGCUGUUUUCUUUGUAAAUGGAGGCGUAGGAUUUCUGUUGGAUUAAAAAGGAAGGCAAAGAGAAAUGUGAUCUCAGCCGUUGGAUCAAAUUUGAUCGAUGGCUGAGAUCUAGUUAUUAAAAAUAUGAUCAAAAUUGGAUGAAAAAUUUAAAUUGAGUCUAAUUAGACACCAUUUGGCUAAAAUUGUAAUAAACUGAAUAAAAUUAGUCUAAAUUUGUUAUCAAUUAAUAAAAUCAGGCUAAAAUUUAAAUAAAUUAAAUUAAGUCAGACUGCUAUUUUAAUAAAUGUUAUAAAUAUUAUUAUGAUAAUAAUAAUAAUAAUAAUAAUAAUAAUAAUAAUAAUAAUAAUAAUAAUAAUAAUAAAAAUGACUAAGAAUCAAACAGAUUGGGAAAUUGAAUUGAAUUAAGGCUGCUAUUUUAAUAAAUGUACUACUGACGUAAUAAUAAAAAUAAGAAAAAUAAUAAGAUGUCGAUAUCUAUGUAUUUGGAAAUUGUGAAUGUGCAUAUUUGUGAAAAUAAUUUGAUAAAUAUUAACAAAAUAUUAUAUUUAAAUUACAUAAAAUAUAAAAUUGCUUGAUAAAAAUAAAUUGUCUAUUUAGAAAUCAUGACUAUGACACGUCGGUAUUUAUUUGAUAUCAAAAUAAUACGUAAAAUUAAUUAUUUUGGUAAAAUAGCACUGCAAUAUUCAACCAAAGAUAGAAUGGGACUCUACCAAGUAAUACAGUGUAAAAUCUAAGGACUGAUGGAUCGUGUAUGGCCAUUACCACUUGGGGUCUGUCGAGGGUACAGUAUACGCAGACCGUACCGUUGAGGUAAAUAGGUUGUUUUCAGUAAACCCUUGAUUCAAGACAAAUAGUCUGAAGUUGAAUAUUAGUGAAUAAUAUUGACCGUUGUUCAAAUAUGAUGAACGGUUGAGAUUAAAAUUGAGGAAAUGAGUCAAAUUAAGAUUAGAUAUUGGGUUAAAAUAUAGAAUUGGGAAUUUCAAUUGAGUCAAAUUAAACUCAAUUGACACAAUUUGAGUAUAAAUGGCUAGAAUUUAAAUAAAUUAGAAAAAUUGAAUUGAAUUAGGUUGAUAUUUAAUAAAUAUAAUCACUAUAUAAAAUUAAUAUUAGAAAAAUAAAUAAAAUUAUUAUUUUUAAUAAUUUAGUAGACUACUAUUUAAUAAAUGUAGAAAAGCCGUAACAACAACAACAACAACAACAACAACAACAACAACAACAACAACAACAACAACAACAACAACAACAACAACAACAACAACAACAACAACAACAACAACAACAACAACAACAACAACAACAACAACAACAACAACAACAACAACAACAACAACAACAACAACAACAACAACAACAAUAAUAAUAGACAAUUUGUAAAUUAUGGGCAUGUAUACUUGCGGAAAUAAUUUAAUAAAUAUAGUAACUAUAAAUUAAUAUCAAAAAAAGCGACGGAUAUUAUGACUCGAUAUAAAUGAAAUAAUAACAUAAUAAUAACGAGAAAAAUAAUAAGAACCGAUAUAAAUUUGGUUUAAAAUGAAUCAAAUUGAAUUCAAAAACCAAUUAAAAUUGACAUAAAUUAGAUAUAAGGUUGGCUAGAAUUUAAAUAAAAUUGAGAAGAUAAUUGCAUCGACUUAGACUGCUAUUUCAAUAUAAUAAUAAUAAUAAAUAAAUAUUGAUCAACAACUGAGAUCUAAAGAUUAAGAAUUUGGUUAAAAAAAAUUGAAUGAAAUUUAAAAUUGAGUUCAAUUGAACACAUUUUGGGCUAGGCUUGUAAUAAAUUGGAUAAAAUAGGCUAAAAUUGAUAUAAAUUGACAAAAUCAGGCUAGAAAAUAAAUAAAUUGGAAAAAAUUAAAUUGACUAAGGUUGCCAAUUAAUACAAUAAUAAUAAUAGUAAAAUAAAUAAGAUAAUUAUUCUCAGAUUAGACUGCUAUUCAAAUGUAAUAAUAAUAAAUAAAUAUUGGUCAACAACUGAGAUCUAAAGAUUAGGAAUUUGGUUAAAAAAAUUGAAUGAAAUUUGAAAUUGAGUUCAAUUGAACAUAAUUUGGGUUAGGUUUGUAAUAAAUUGGAUAAAAUUAGGUUAAAUUGUUAUAAAUUGGCAAUAUCAGGCUAGAAAAUAAAUAGAUUAAAAAAAAUUAAAUUGACUAAGGUUGCGGAUUAAUACAAUAACAAUAAUAACAGUAAAAUAAAUAAUAUAAUUAUUCUCAGAUUAGUUAUGAAUAAAUUUUGUAAAUAAAAAUACGACACAUAAUAUAUUACUUUAAAAUCAACGAUAACAAUAAUUCAAAAUAAACACCUAUAAAUUAUGAAUAUAAAAUUUAAAAUUGCUGAUAAUACAUGUGUGAUACCAUCUAUGUCAAUGAACUAAUUUUAAUUUCUUGAGCAUCUUUUGCUUGAUAAUACGUAUCCACCGAUUUAAUGUCUAAUUUUUUUUAUUUUAUGUUUUUUAUUCUUCAAAUUUAUCCUUUUCCUAAUUUAAAAUUUUCAAGUCACAAAAUUUCUACAAAAAUCCACAAGAAAUAAUUUCAGCUAAAUUUUUAGCAACAUAAUCCCCCAAUAUAUUUCCACCAAAAUAUCUCUAAGUAAAUCCGUAGGAUAAAUUACAUAGAGAUUUUUCUGUGGAUUUAAAAAAAAUAUAUUUUUUCAUAUACCUGCGGAUUUACCUAGAGAUAAAAUACCCGAAGAUAUAGUUCCCCAGGUAAUGUCGCAAGUAAUAAUUUCGCAGGUAAAUUCCCAAGAAUAAAUCCCCAGCAAAAUUCACAGCACAAAAUCCCCAAAUAAUUUCCCAGGUAAUAAAAUUCAUUACAUAAAUUUUCACCAAAAUAUCUCUAAAUAAAUUCGUAGGAUAAAUUACCUGGGGAUUUUUCUAUGGAUUUAAAAAAUAUAUAUAUUUGUUUAUAUACCUGCGGAUUUACCUAGAGAUAAAAUAUCCGCCGAUAUAUUUCCCCAAGUAAUGUCGCAAGUAAUAAUUUCGCCGGUAAAUCCCCAAGAAUAAAUUUCCAGCAAAAUUCACAGCACCAAAUCCCCAACUAAUUUCUCAGGUAACAAAAUCCAUUACAUAAAUUUUCACCAAAAUAUCUCUAGGUAAAUUCGUAGGAUAAAUUACCUAAGGAUUUUUCUAUGGAUUUAAAAAAUAUAUAUAUUUGUUUAUAUACCUGCGGAUUUACCUAGAUAUAAAAUAUCCGCCAAUAUAUUUCCCCAGGUAAUGUCGCAAGUAAUAAUUGUUGACACCCAAUUUUGACUCGCCCUUUUUCCUUUAAUUACUUUUUCGAUGCUUCUUGGCCCUAAAUAAUUUUCAAAAAUUAAAUAAUAAUAUGAUUUGGCAUUUUUGUUUCUAUUUCUACAAGUUUUAAUAAGAAGGGAAUUUAAUUUUAUUUAUAAAGCUAUUUUAAUAAUUAAGCAUUUGACAUCACAAUCACAAAAUAUAUAUCUUUUGGUGGUCGCAUUCGCAUUCUUUCUAACUUUAUUUUUGGGGCAGUAUUGUGACCUUAUAGGUAUAUUUUUACUACACAAAAUAUAUUUUUAUAAGAUGCACAUAUAUUUCAUUAUAUUCUUAUUUUUAUGUAUUUUAUUAUAUUCUUAUUUUUCAUACACACAUAUAUAUAU
RNAcentral lists this long non-coding RNA (39971 nucleotides) under Capsicum annuum. RNAcentral's name for it is "long non-coding RNA (CANN_LNC012825)". Lineage: Eukaryota; Viridiplantae; Streptophyta; Magnoliopsida; Solanales; Solanaceae. The record is from RNAcentral.